This is a non-coding RNA of Capsicum annuum, 108 nucleotides long. NCBI's taxonomy places the organism in Eukaryota, Viridiplantae, Streptophyta, Magnoliopsida, Solanales, Solanaceae. The record is from Rfam.
AAAUUGUGGUUAGGACAUUGCAAAAGCUUUUUAUUAAACCUCUCCCAAACUUCAUAUAAAGGGUCCUCAUUAAGUUGACAAAAAUUAAUGAUUUCAUCCCGCAAUUAU